CUACAUCUACUGAUAGACCCAGAAUUGUUUGUGGCUGUUCUUGUUGUCUGCACUAGGAUGUAGAGGAAACUGCUCCUAGUGCUUUCUCUCUUGGUGGUUCAGAUUAAUGUAGGGAAUUAUAC
Molecule: small nucleolar RNA, 122 nt
Organism: Apodemus sylvaticus (European woodmouse)
Lineage: Eukaryota; Metazoa; Chordata; Mammalia; Rodentia; Muridae
Product: small nucleolar RNA SNORA31
Exons: 1
Source: RefSeq, a predicted model, not a curated record